CUGCUCACUUUGGCAGCACAUAUACUAAAAUUGGAAUAAUACAGAGAUUAACAUGGCCCCUGCACAAGGAUGUUACUCAAAUUUGUGAAGCAUCCCAUAUUUUU
RNAcentral lists this small nuclear RNA (104 nucleotides) under Capra hircus (goat). Lineage: Eukaryota; Metazoa; Chordata; Mammalia; Artiodactyla; Bovidae. The record is from RNAcentral.